RNAcentral lists this ribosomal RNA (737 nucleotides) under Microbacterium aurantiacum. Its description in RNAcentral is "partial 16S ribosomal RNA". It matches the Rfam family "Bacterial small subunit ribosomal RNA", at positions 74 to 825 of the family's 1533-position model. The record is from RNAcentral. Lineage: Bacteria; Bacillati; Actinomycetota; Actinomycetes; Micrococcales; Microbacteriaceae.
CCAAGCUUGCUUGGUGGAUCAGUGGCGAACGGGUGAGUAACACGUGAGCAACCUGCCCUGGACUCUGGGAUAAGCGCUGGAAACGGUGUCUAAUACUGGAUAUGAGCUCUCAUCGCAUGGUGGGGGUUGGAAAGAUUUUUCGGUCUGGGAUGGGCUCGCGGCCUAUCAGCUUGUUGGUGAGGUAAUGGCUCACCAAGGCGUCGACGGGUAGCCGGCCUGAGAGGGUGACCGGCCACACUGGGACUGAGACACGGCCCAGACUCCUACGGGAGGCAGCAGUGGGGAAUAUUGCACAAUGGGCGGAAGCCUGAUGCAGCAACGCCGCGUGAGGGAUGACGGCCUUCGGGUUGUAAACCUCUUUUAGCAAGGAAGAAGCGAGAGUGACGGUACUUGCAGAAAAAGCGCCGGCUAACUACGUGCCAGCAGCCGCGGUAAUACGUAGGGCGCAAGCGUUAUCCGGAAUUAUUGGGCGUAAAGAGCUCGUAGGCGGUUUGUCGCGUCUGCUGUGAAAUCCCGAGGCUCAACCUCGGGCCUGCAGUGGGUACGGGCAGACUAGAGUGCGGUAGGGGAGAUUGGAAUUCCUGGUGUAGCGGUGGAAUGCGCAGAUAUCAGGAGGAACACCGAUGGCGAAGGCAGAUCUCUGGGCCGUAACUGACGCUGAGGAGCGAAAGGGUGGGGAGCAAACAGGCUUAGAUACCCUGGUAGUCCACCCCGUAAACGUUGGGAACUAGUUGUGG